UACGUAGGGAGCAAGCGUUGUUCGGAUUUACUGGGCGUAAAGGGCGCGUAGGCGGCGUUGUAAGUCACUUGUGAAAUCUCUGAGCUUAACUCAGAACGGCCAAGUGAUACUGCAGUGCUAGAGUGCGGAAGGGGCAAUCGGAAUUCUUGGUGUAGCGGUGAAAUGCGUAGAUAUCAAGAGGAACACCUGAGGUGAAGACGGGUUGCUGGGCUGACACUGACGCUGACAGCGCGAAAGCUAGGGGAGCAAACGGG
Molecule: ribosomal RNA, 254 nt
Filed under: uncultured bacterium
Lineage: Bacteria
Description: partial 16S ribosomal RNA
Rfam family: Bacterial small subunit ribosomal RNA
Source: RNAcentral